Molecule: long non-coding RNA, 609 nt
Filed under: Mytilus galloprovincialis (Mediterranean mussel)
Lineage: Eukaryota; Metazoa; Mollusca; Bivalvia; Mytilida; Mytilidae
Source: RNAcentral
CUUUUAUUGAUAUUUCAUGUAAUCAAAUAAAAUAAAAUAUCAAGGUUUUAAAUAUAUUUUUAGUUACAUGAUGUGUAAGUGACCUAAUACGAUAUAUCUGGGGUCAGUACAUUCCAUAUGGGGUGAGAGCCAAGCUCGAAUCACCAUCUGGAAUUUACUGACCCCAUAUAUAUCGUAUUAGGUCACUAGCACACCGUGUAACCAAUUAAUCUUACCGACAAUCUCACAUGUGGUAUUUUGACAAGCAGCCUAUCAAAGUGAUGAUGUCUCCAAUACUUACUAUGAAGUACCUAUUUACAUUUUCUAUACAGAAAUCAAAUGCCAACAUUAACAACCUUUUAGCUUUAAAUAUGUUUUAAGAACUUAUUUCAACCUUUCAUCCUCAAUUUAUUCCUCUGUUGAAUUAUUUGAGAUUUUUAAACCGUGUUGUUUGAUAAAGGGUUGUGACAUCUUUUUUGUUUUGAAAGGGAAGUAACUCCUUACUAACCCCAUAUGGUAACUAACCAUGUAUGGUAAGUAACCUUAUAUUUUUUAGACACCCUAUAUCAAAUAUACAUAGUCAACACGUGCUGUCCUUUAACCUAUCACAUUCCUAUAAAUCUAUAGGAG